Molecule: ribosomal RNA, 449 nt
Filed under: uncultured Devosia sp.
Lineage: Bacteria; Pseudomonadati; Pseudomonadota; Alphaproteobacteria; Hyphomicrobiales; Devosiaceae
Description: partial 16S ribosomal RNA
Source: RNAcentral
CACGAAGUUAGCCGGGGCUUCUUCUGUGGGUACCGUCAUUAUCUUCCCCACUGAAAGAGCUUUACAACCCUAAGGUCUUCAUCACUCACGCGGCAUGGCUGGAUCAGGCUUGCGCCCAUUGUCCAAUAUUCCCCACUGCUGCCUCCCGUAGGAGUCUGGGCCGUGUCUCAGUCCCAGUGUGGCUGAUCAUCCUCUCAGACCAGCUAAAGAUCGUCGCCUUGGUGAGCCAUUACCUCACCAACUAGCUAAUCUUACGCGGGCUCAUCCAAAUCCGAUAAAUCUUUCCCCCGUAGGCGUAUACGGUAUUAGCAGUCGUUUCCAACUGUUGUUCCGUAGAUCUGGGUAGAUUCCCACGCGUUACUCACCCGUCUGCCACUCCCCUUGCGGGCGUUCGACUUGCAUGUGUUAAGCCUGCCGCCAGCGUUCGUUCUGAGCCAGGAUCAAACUCU